UAGGACGGUCAUAGCUGCCUGGUCCUACCCGAUCCCAUCUUGAACUCGGCAGUAAAACAGGCACACGUUCUGGGCUGUACUGCCUUUCAGGCGGGAAACCCAGUUAGCUGUCCACC
RNAcentral lists this ribosomal RNA (116 nucleotides) under Candidatus Woesearchaeota archaeon. The record is from RNAcentral. Lineage: Archaea; Nanobdellati; Candidatus Woesearchaeota.